This 312-nucleotide unclassified non-coding RNA is filed under the name uncultured Entrophospora. RNAcentral's name for it is "uncultured Claroideoglomus sequence contains ITS2". The stretch from base 1 to 52 matches the Rfam family "5.8S ribosomal RNA", at positions 103 to 154 of the family's 154-position model. Lineage: Eukaryota; Fungi; Glomeromycota; Glomeromycetes; Entrophosporales; Entrophosporaceae. The record is from RNAcentral.
AACGCAUAUUGCACUCUCUGGUAAUCCGGAGAGUAUGCCUGUUUGAGGGUCAGUAAAUAAUAAUUAUCAUGAAUCUCUGAUUUAUGGAAUUGGGCUUUUAUUUCGAUAGAUCUAUGGCCUUAAAUUUUACGUUAUGGGCUUGUCAUAUAAAAACCGAUCUAAAGGAGCAAUUAAACAUUCUCUCAUUAGGCGGAUUUUUACAAGCUGUUAUGAUCUUUGGUUGCUUUCAGCAUUUUUACGAGUGCGAAACCAAGAUCGUAAGCUCACUCUAACAAUGACCUCAAAUCAGGCAAGAAUACCCGCUGAACUUAA